UACAGAGGGUGCGAGCGUUUGUCCGGAAUCACUGGGCGUAAAGGGCGCGUAGGCGGUUCCCUAAGUGUGUGGUGAAAGCUCGGGGCUCAACCCCGAGUCGGCCGUGCAAACUGGGGGACUCGAGCAUGUCAGAGGCAGGCGGAAUUCCGGGUGUAGCGGUGGAAUGCGCAGAUAUCAGGAGGAACACCGGUGGCGAAGGCGGGUCUCUGGGCAGUAACUGACGCUGGAGGAGCGAAAGCGUGGGGAGCGAACAGG
RNAcentral lists this ribosomal RNA (255 nucleotides) under uncultured bacterium. Its description in RNAcentral is "partial 16S ribosomal RNA". It matches the Rfam family "Bacterial small subunit ribosomal RNA", at positions 524 to 776 of the family's 1533-position model. The record is from RNAcentral.